This 533-nucleotide ribosomal RNA is filed under the name Cenococcum geophilum. RNAcentral describes it as "eukaryotic LSU rRNA". The stretch from base 171 to 324 matches the Rfam family "5.8S ribosomal RNA". Lineage: Eukaryota; Fungi; Ascomycota; Dothideomycetes; Gloniales; Gloniaceae. The record is from RNAcentral.
UCCGUAGGUGAACCUGCGGAAGGAUCAUUACAGAAAGUAAACGCGGAUCAAACCGCGAACUUCUAAACCUAUGACGAUCGACUCAUGUUGCCUCGGCGGGUUCUCCCGCCAGAGGAUACAUCAAAACUCCUGUUUUAACGGUGUUGUCUGAGCUACAAGCAACGAAUCAAAACUUUCAACAACGGAUCUCUUGGUUCUGGCAUCGAUGAAGAACGCAGCGAAAUGCGAUAAGUAGUGUGAAUUGCAGAAUUCAGUGAAUCAUCGAAUCUUUGAACGCACAUUGCGCCCCUUGGUAUCCCGAGGGGCAUGCCUGUUCGAGCGUCAUUUCACCACUCAAGCCUGGCUUGGUGUUGGGCGACGUCCCCUUCAGGGACGCGCCUCGAAACGCUCGGCGGCGUGGCACCGGCUUUAAGCGUAGCAGAAUCUUUCGCUUCAAAAGUCGGGGCCCCGUCUGCCGGAAGACCUACUCGCAAGGUUGACCUCGGAUCAGGCAGGGAUACCCGCUGAACUUAAGCAUAUCAAUAAGCGGAGGA